UCUCACCUUCUGAGAUGGGCCACACUCUGUCUGUGGAGUGUGUUUCUCUCUGAAUAAAUCCACUUCUUACCUAUCACUUUGUCUCCCACUGAAUUCUUUGUAUGAAGCAAGACAUCAAGAACCUCAAAUUCACUGGGAACACAAAAGCGCCUCAGGUGCAGGACAAAGACCUACUGGGACUGAGGACUGAGGAAGGGGCUGGGACCCGGGGCCUGGGGCCAGCACCCCACAGAGCAGGAUGACGCGUUCCAGAACCAGCUGCAGCGCUCCAGGGGACCCUCCCAGAACCUGAGCUGAGUGACGCUCCUGGUGAACCUGACAGGUUGGCAAUAUUCUUUUCAGUCCGAUCCUCUUCCAUGAUGCUGGGAGUGGCAGCCGCAGCUCCCUGUCAGCCUUGUGAUCACAAGGGUCAACAACCAUUCUGCACCCAGACAGCCAUUCUGCUUUGCACCGUCAGUACAGUAUUCAGUACAUUAUAUGAGGUUUCUCUCCAACACUGUUUGAUACCAGCCCCACGCCAGCCAUUGUUUUCCCAGAUGAGGGCGGACACCAGCCUGAGGCUAAACCUCUGAACUGAAUCAAGUCCCCCCACCGAAGUCAAAACGAAAGCUGCCAAAGAUACACCAAGACAGGCACCGGGCAAACCCGCGGACUCACAGGAAACCAGGCUGCGCCUGCUGGGCUUGCCCGUCGCGCCCGCAGAAAUCCCAGUGCUCAGAGCUGGAAGGACAUCAGCCGGCAUCUUGAUGAACAUCCUCCUUUCGCCCUUGAGGCCAGGUUCUGGAGCUGCCAGCGACUCACCGAGGCUGCCCGGGGCCCAGUAGGCCUUUUAGAGAAAGAAAGAAAACCGGUGCUCAGCACAAACCAGCCCCAAGCAGCUUUGGAUGUGAGGAGCCUGACGAGCCUCGAGGACAGGUGAUGAGAAAUGCUUAGGAGGAUGGCCAAGAAGGAUUUGUAACGUCCGGAGUCAGACAGGUCUGCAGCCCUGCUGGCCUGGCCGCUCUCCACGGAGGAAGCCCCUGGCUGUGAGGGCAGCAAACUGCAGGCUGGCCAGGCCCUCUCUUGCCACCUCCAUGCCCUUUGAUGAGGGCUGGGUUAGUGCAAACAAGGUGUGUGAGCUUUUCACCCCAGCCAGGUGUGGACAUGAGCUGUGGGCUCCUGUGAGAGGUACUCAGGGUGCAGAGAUGGGCCUUUCAGCUGAGGUUCUGCACCUUCAAUCCACAGGCCCCAAGAGCAGACUUGCAAAUUCUUCCAGCCUUUAAACACCAUUCCUGCCCCAGCCGCAGGCAGGAAGCACCCUCUACCACGAGCACCACGUCCCCAGGAUCGAUGUUCAGUGCUGGGACCUGUCUGGCCACAGGGGCCACAGCUCCGUGUCUGUGGGUCACUCUGGAGCUGAGUGUCCUCCCGUCCCCGAGCCCAGCGGAGCCAGAGUCGGGGGCUGGAUGGAAGAGAAGCGCGCCCAGAGCCUCGACAUGAGCCCCUGAGAGCCUCUCCUGGGACACAGCAGCGUGAGAAGAAGGAAGCUCAUCAGCUCAAACCAGCGAGGGCGGACUGAGCACCAGCUCCCGUCCCAGGAGUAACAUGGACUGUGAUGCGGGGGGCUGAGAGGAGCAGGCCGUGCCCCGGACGUCUCAGGAGCUGACAGUCUGGUGCCCCGUGAGACAGCCCCCUCUCAGGAGAGCCACCAUGAAGCUCUGCGCACGAGAGUCAAGUGCCCCAAACUUGGAACUUGGGAGGUGGAAGCAGCUGAUUGUCUGGAGCAGGAGGCCACUGUCGGUCAGGGACCAGGGACGACCUCAGGGGGGACCCGUCUGGAGCCGGAGCUUUGGGGUAGGGUCAAGGGGGCGCCGCGGAGGCCGUGAGCAUGUUGCUUUGGGCCCGUGCCGCGGAGACAGACGUCACACUGGCCCUGGUGCUCCCCGCACGUUGGCAGGGAAAUGCGUGUUUUAUUUUACAGAACUCAAAAUCGCCCAAGUGGAAACGCUCUGUGCCUUGUUUUAAACUCAAGAAAGCACCGGAAAGGUUUGUUUUGACCGAAUGGAAACAACACUCCCAUGGAUAAGCACUUUCUGACACACACAAAACAAAUGAAAAGCUCGUGCCCACUUUCCUGACUUUCUCCCCCAGCGAUGUCCCCAGUCACACAUGUCAUAAGGGGCUUGGGACCAGAUUCAGACUCUUCCUACAAAAGUGCACAACACCCAGUCCCUCGCCCCACUCCCCCGACGCCAGAGGCGGCUGGGCCAGUAACUUGGAGUCAGUGCGUCCUCCCCAUGUUUUCUGACUUUCUCAGGAGAACCUUGGCAUUUUUGUAAACGUUAGCGCCAAGCUUUUAGAAAUUUUGGGUUUUUUUUUUUUGAGGGGGGGAGUAUUUUUACUCUUUCCAACAACUUGCCACCCCAAUUUGGAAACCUUGUCUAAAUUGUGGAUCUGGUACUCAGCCAAUGAUUCUUUUGGUUGUGACUGCAUUUGCUGUGAAAAUAUUCUUUUCCUGGAAGAAACCGCACACCCUUCAGAGGCCAAGGACGCAGUGGCGUUUGUUAGGAUACAUCAGAGGUCGGUUCACCGUAAAGCUAAUGAGUGCAAGCUCCAGGGCUCCUCACUUACCAUCCAAGACCUUGUACCUAAUUUUACAUCUAUUGUUUUGUAUUCUUUUUCUUAAAGAACCCACACCCGUCCAAAUUGUAUAAGCUUUGAGCCCCCAACCCUGGACCCCCUACCCCCAGAUGCAGUCUUAAAGCCCACGACCUAUUAGACCUCAUU
Molecule: long non-coding RNA, 2766 nt
Organism: Aethalodelphis obliquidens (Pacific white-sided dolphin)
Lineage: Eukaryota; Metazoa; Chordata; Mammalia; Artiodactyla; Delphinidae
Exons: 4
Source: RefSeq, a predicted model, not a curated record